Molecule: ribosomal RNA, 268 nt
Filed under: uncultured prokaryote
Description: partial 16S ribosomal RNA
Rfam family: Bacterial small subunit ribosomal RNA
Source: RNAcentral
UACGUAGGUGGCAAGCGUUAUCCGGAAUUAUUGGGCGUAAAGAGCGCGCAGGUGGUUGAUUAAGUCUGAUGUGAAAGCCCACGGCUUAACCGUGGAGGGUCAUUGGAAACUGGUCGACUUGAGUGCAGAAGAGGGAAGUGGAAUUCCAUGUGUAGCGGUGAAAUGCGUAGAGAUAUAGAGGAACACCAGUGGCGAAGGCGGCUUCCUGGUCUGUAACUGACACUGAGGCGCGAAAGCGUGGGGAGCAAACAGGAUUAGAUACCCCGUA